RNAcentral lists this ribosomal RNA (253 nucleotides) under uncultured bacterium. Its description in RNAcentral is "partial 16S ribosomal RNA". It matches the Rfam family "Bacterial small subunit ribosomal RNA", at positions 524 to 776 of the family's 1533-position model. The record is from RNAcentral.
UACGGAGGGGGCUAGCGUUGUUCGGAAUUACUGGGCGUAAAGCGCACGUAGGCGGAUUGGAAAGUUGGGGGUGAAAUCCCGGGGCUCAACCCCGGAACUGCCUUCAAAACUCCCAGUCUGGAGGUCGAGAGAGGUGAGUGGAAUUCCGAGUGUAGAGGUGAAAUGCGCAGAUAUCAGGAGGAACACCGGUGGCGAAGGCGGGUCUCUGGGACGGUAUUGACGCUAAGGCGCGAAAGCGUGGGGAGCAAACAGG